AUUGAACGCUGGCGGCAUGCUUUACACAUGCAAGUCGAACGGUAACAGGCCGCAAGGUGCUGACGAGUGGCGAACGGGUGAGUAAUGCAUCGGAACGUGCCCAGUCGUGGGGGAUAACUACUCGAAGGAGUAGCUAAUACCGCAUACGAUCUAUGGAUGAAAGCGGGGGACCGUAGGGCCUCGCGCGAUUGGAGCGGCCGAUGUCAGAUUAGGUAGUUGGUGGGGUAAAGGCUCACCAAGCCAACGAUCUGUAGCUGGUCUGAGAGGACAACCAGCCACACUGGGACUGAGACACGGCCCAGACUCCUACGGGAGGCAGCAGUGGGGAAUUUUGGACAAUGGGCGCAAGCCUGAUCCAGCAAUGCCGCGUGCAGGAAGAAGGCCUUCGGGUUGUAAACUGCUUUUGUACGGAACGAAACGGCUCUGGUUAAUACCCGGGGCUAAUGACGGUACCGUAAGAAUAAGCACCGGCUAACUACGUG
This 482-nucleotide ribosomal RNA is filed under the name uncultured bacterium. RNAcentral describes it as "partial 16S ribosomal RNA". It matches the Rfam family "Bacterial small subunit ribosomal RNA", at positions 30 to 507 of the family's 1533-position model. The record is from RNAcentral.